GGAUUGUGGCUCAGGGGUAGAGCACUCGCCUCACACGUGGAGACCCUGGGUUCGAUCCUCUGCACCA
This 67-nucleotide transfer RNA is filed under the name Marmota monax (woodchuck). Its description in RNAcentral is "tRNA.Val". The record is from RNAcentral. Lineage: Eukaryota; Metazoa; Chordata; Mammalia; Rodentia; Sciuridae.